GCUUCUCUCCUCCAGGCUGUGGGAGCCCACUUGACUGUACUGAGGGAAAAGAGGCCGGGCCUGAAAGAGAGCGGAGGAGGAGGAGAUGGUCCAGGGCAGGGCCUCCUAGGAGACGAGGGCCGAGCAGCCCAGCGAGGGGACGGGACUCUCAAAGGAGGGAGCAGGGUUUCCAGAGGUUGCCAAAGAAAUGCCUUUCUUUUGAAAUGUCUUCUGGGUCUCCAGCCUAGUUUCAAAUUCUGAAUAGAGAAGAAAGAAGAAAAAAAGGGAAGAAAGUGAAUGCCUUCUAUGUCCUAAGUGGGAAGAAAAGAAACUGACUGUAACUCCUGCCCUGUGUAUCUACUCUCUCUAAGUGCUUAGUCAACUCUCCACCUGUGGAACCAACCAUUUUUAUCCUCCUGACUUCUGGAGAGUGGCAAGGUUGUCUGUCUGUCUUGGCUUCCAAUGUUCAGAACAUAAAGGCACAAUGAAAACAAGUUCAUUCAAAUGGCUGUAAGGUUAAAAACUAAUUUCUUUCUUCACAAGUGAUGAAAUAAUAAAAGGACUUAGAAGAGCUGAAUGACUGAAAAAGGGUCAUAUAAGUAAUAAAAGAAGUGGAGGAGCUUGCACAAGCAGAAAUAGAAGAUGAGAAGUAGGCAUUUCUAGAGUUUGGGAUCCGAAAAUACCCUAAUCAAUGGACACCUGUACUAUUACUCCUAAUUAGUCUCCCAACCUACACCACAAUUUGUUUCUUUCAAAUCCAAUGUGAAGACAAUAACUUGAUUAAUCUAGCUCCAACACUGAUUCAUGUCACUAACAUCUCAAAGUCCUCCAAUUGUUUACUUCUCUUUAACUGAUGGAUUUUUCUAAUUCUUCAGGACAGCAGGAGAGCUUCCAUCACCACACCACCCUUCUCCUAUCUAGACAUUAGCCUGCAUAUCAGCCUGAAUUUGCCUAAAGAGGCUUGCUCUAGACUAAGUUCACAGAAUCACAGCCCUCUGAGUUGGAAAGAACAUUGACCUAGUCAAACUCAUUUCUGAGCAAGAAGAGCUUCUAGG
This is a long non-coding RNA of Dromiciops gliroides (monito del monte), 1034 nucleotides long. RefSeq lists it as uncharacterized. NCBI's taxonomy places the organism in Eukaryota, Metazoa, Chordata, Mammalia, Microbiotheria, Microbiotheriidae. The record is from RefSeq and is a predicted model, not a curated record. The transcript has 3 exons.